This 253-nucleotide ribosomal RNA is filed under the name uncultured bacterium. RNAcentral describes it as "partial 16S ribosomal RNA". It matches the Rfam family "Bacterial small subunit ribosomal RNA", at positions 524 to 776 of the family's 1533-position model. The record is from RNAcentral.
UACAGAGGUCUCAAGCGUUGUUCGGAUUCAUUGGGCGUAAAGGGCGCGUAGGUGGCAGGGUAAGUCGGGUGUGAAAUCCCGGGGCUCAACCCCGGAACUGCACUCGAUACUGCCUUGCUCGAGUACUGGAGAGGAGACUGGAAUUUACGGUGUAGCAGUGAAAUGCGUAGAUAUCGGAAGGAAGACCAGUGGCGAAGGCGAGUCUCUGGACAGUUACUGACACUGAGGCACGAAGGCCAGGGGAGCAAACGGG